UAAAUAUUGACCUCCAUAUGGAGAUCAUGCUAGUUGACAGUUUCCAUCAGGUUAUGAAUGUGUCAAGUUUAAACUACUGUUUUAUUGUAUAAUAUGUUACUGACUGGCAUUGUGGAGUCUUGUCACACUAAUUAUAUUUUACUAUUAUGCAUAUUUAAGCACUUUCAUGGAGGAAAUGGACCAUCUAAAGUGUAUCCUGACCCACCAUCAGCUGAUGGCUGGAGAAUAACAUCUUCAAGAAAACUCCUCACAAAGCGGUCACUUGGAAAGGAAACUUAUGGCAGCAUUUAUACACAAAAUGCAAGUGUAUGCAUUUAAUACAAGAUAUCACAUGCCUAGAAAAGCUGGUCCAGGAUCCUGCAGACACUGUACCAGGAGUAGAAACACAGACCGAAUGUCCAUGGACGUCACCUUUGGAUGCUUGCACUUACCGCUCAAAAUGCUUCCCUAAAAGAACAGUUGUCACAAAAAGAAGUCCAAGUUGAAGAAUAACAGUCUGCACUUUCAUCAAAGUGUUGUGAAAUUCAGAUUUUAAAGCAACUGGUGGGAAUUUAAACAAACUGUAAAUGUCGAUAUAGUUCUGCUCAUAGAAGCAAUAGUUAAAAUUUGUUUAAAUAUUAUACAGGAAUCAUAUGAUUUUAUUUCUGCUUCUUUGAUAUAAUUGAAUAACUGUUAGUUUAUUCAUGUUUGGAAUAAAGCAUUGUAAAGUGAA
Long non-coding RNA from Mya arenaria, 712 nucleotides. RefSeq lists it as uncharacterized. NCBI's taxonomy places the organism in Eukaryota, Metazoa, Mollusca, Bivalvia, Myida, Myidae. The record is from RefSeq and is a predicted model, not a curated record. The transcript has 3 exons.